GAGUGCUGCCUAGACGGCCGCGGGUGGUCUUGCGCCACACGAGGAAAGUCCGGGCUCCAUAGGGCGCGAUGGUGGUUAACGACCACCGGGGGCAACCCCAGGGAAAGUGCCGCAGAAAGUAAACCGCCUAAGCGCUUCGGCGCCGGUAAGGGUGAAAGGGUGAGGUAAGAGCUCACCGCGCGUUUGGUGACAAGCGUGGCAGGGUAAACCCCAUCGGGAGAAAGCUCAUGUAGGGAGGAARGGUGCGGCCCRUACCGUUUGGACCUCCGGGUAGAGCGUUUGAGGCCGUCAGCAAUGGCGGUCCUAGAGAAAUGGUCGUCACCUCUUCGGAGGGACAGGACCCGGCUUACUGGCAGCACUCAUUU
This 365-nucleotide RNase P RNA is filed under the name Planctomycetota bacterium. RNAcentral describes it as "Planctomycetes bacterium RNase P RNA component class A". It matches the Rfam family "Bacterial RNase P class A". Rfam says of the family: Ribonuclease P (RNase P) is a ubiquitous endoribonuclease, found in archaea, bacteria and eukarya as well as chloroplasts and mitochondria. Its best characterised activity is the generation of mature 5'-ends of tRNAs by cleaving the 5'-leader elements of precursor-tRNAs. Lineage: Bacteria; Pseudomonadati; Planctomycetota. The record is from RNAcentral.